This is a long non-coding RNA of Eriocheir sinensis (Chinese mitten crab), 4907 nucleotides long. RefSeq lists it as uncharacterized. NCBI's taxonomy places the organism in Eukaryota, Metazoa, Arthropoda, Malacostraca, Decapoda, Varunidae. The record is from RefSeq and is a predicted model, not a curated record. The transcript has 4 exons.
AACAAACUCUACUACGACAUCUAAAAAUCCCAGCAUAUACGAAGGCAAUUAUUAACAACAGGUAGAAGGGUAGUGUAGUACUGUGUUCUGGGACUACGAUUGCGGGGUAUGUCUUUGUAGGGUACAGAAGAUGAGGUUUGUUUACAUAGCGCAGAGUAGUAGGCAAAUUCUCAACAACAGGUAAAGGGUUUUGUUUUGAAAUGAAUGUCUAGUGAUGUGUUUUGGGAGUACGAUUGUGGGGUAUUUUCCUGAAGGGUACGGAUGAAGAAGAGGUUUGUUUACGUAAUGCCAGUCUGUAGGGAAUUCUCAACAACAGGUAAAGGGUUUUGUUUUUAAAUGAAUGUGUAGUGAUGUGUUUUAAGGUUACGAUUGCGGGGUAUAUGUCUGAAGGGUACGGAAGAGGAGGUUUGUUUACAUAGCGCAGAGCAGUAGGCAAAUUCUCAACAACAUGUAUAGAGUUUUGUAUUUGAAAUGAAUGUGUAGUGAUGUAUUCUGGGACGACGAUUGCGGGGUAUAUUUCUGAAGGGUACGGAUGAAGACUAUGUUUGUUUACGUAAUGCCAGAGUCCGUAGGCAAUUCUCAACAACAGGUAUAAAGAUUUGUAUCUGAAAUGAACGUGUAGUGAUGUGUUUUGGGGUUACGAUUGCGGGAUAUAUUUCUGAAGGGUACGGAUGAAGAAGAGGUUUGUUUACAUAGCGCAGAGUAGUAGGCAAAUUCUCAACAACAUGUAUAGAGUUUUGUAUUUGAAAUGAAUGUGUAGUGAUGUAUUCUGGGACGACGAUUGUGGGGUAUAUUUCUGAAGGGUACGGAUGAAGACUGUGUUUGUUUACAUAGCGCAGAGCAGUAGGCAAAUUCUCAACAACAUGUAUAGAGUUUUGUAUUUGAAAUUAAUGUGUAGUGAUGUAUUCUGGGACGACAAUUGUGGGGUAUGUUUCUGAAGGGUACGGAUGAAGACUGUGUUUGUUUACGUAAUGCCAGAGUCUGUAGGCGAUUCUCAACAACAGGUAUAAAGAUUUGUAUUUGAAAUGAACGUGUAGUGAUGUAUUUUGGGGUUACGAUUGUGGGAUAUAUGUCUGAAGGGUACGGAAGAUGAGGUUUGUUUACAUAGCGCAGAGCAGUAGGCAAAUUCUCAACAACAUGUAUAGAGUUUUGUAUUUGAAAUUAAUGUGUAGUGAUGUAUUCUGGGACGACGAUUGUGGGGUAUAUUUCUGAAGGGUACGGAUGAAGACUGUGUUUGUUUACGUAAUGCCAGUCUGUAGGCAAUUCUCAACAACAGGUAAAGGGGUUUGUUUUGAAAUGAAAAUGGUGAUGUGUUCGAGGACCUUACAGCAUACUUCCUAACUUCUAAGCGAUAACCACCAGUCUCCGCAGCACUAAGGCAAGCAUGGUUCUCGAAGGCUUAACCCGGGCCCUCAAUACCCUCCCCCCCCCCUGUACACACCCUCAGUAGUCAGUGUUGCCAACCUAAUGGGAUUGUCACACCUUUAAAUGACCUCCAGAAUAUCUUACCUAAGCCAUUUCUAGUUACCCAGUGCUACCAACCUCACCCCAAGCACACAGGAGUCAAGGUCAAGAGAGUCUGGCUUAAGUACUAGAUGCAGGAAUGGUUGGUAGUCCUGGCUGUUCAGUGUUGCCAACUUAUGGGGAUUCACACCUUCAAAAUUAAUUACCUUCAAAGCAUCUUCCCUAAGCCAGACCCAGUGCUACCAACCUCACCACAAGCACACAAGAGUCAGGUCAAAAGAGUCUGGAAAGGUUGGUAGUCCUGGUUGGUAGUCAGUGUCGCCAACCUAAGGGGAUAGUCACACCUUUAAACGAAUUCCAGUGCUACCAACCUCGCCACAAGCACUCAGGAGUCAGGUCAAGAGUCGGAAAGGUUGGUAGUCCUGGUUGGUAGUCAGUGUCGCCAACCUAAGGGAAUUGUCACACUUUUAAACGACCACAAAAACAUCUUACGGCUUUAUUAUAGAUAACAACUUUCUCUUGUUUAUUUUUUGCACUGCUACUUAAUGGUAUAAACGUUACGAUGCCUACAAAUGAAUUAUAAGUAAAUGAAUUAUAAGAAGUAUGCGUAUCGUGUUUUCUUUGCGUCUCCGAGCACGGACAGACAGACGAACACACGCACAACCUCACUAAAGACAGAGAGAAAACAAAACAUAGUAAAUCAGCAUGAAAUCAGUGAAGAAAUACGCCUGAAAAUAUAUAUAUAUCUCUAUAAAACACAGACAACAAAACAAAUAAAUAAAAAUAAGUAUGUAAUUCUGAUUUCCUCCGAGCAGACACGCCAACCCUUCCACAUUUCACGAGACAGAUUAAGCGGGUGUUAUGCCCUUCAAUCAACUUCUAUGGCAUUUCCGACACCAUAUCAACCUGCUUCUCCAUUUCCUUCCACGCAACAGAUUAUUAAGUGGAUGUUCUGCUCUUUUCAACAUCAAUUUAACCCCACUUAAUAAUCUUACCCCUACACAAGACUGGUUAUUAAGUGGGUGUUAUGCCCUUCAAUCAACUUCUAUGGCAUUUCCGACACCAUAUCAACCUGCUUCUCCAUUUCCUUCCACUCAACAGAUUAUUAAGUGGAUGUUCUGCUCUUUUCAACAUCAAUUUAACCCCAAUUAAUAAUCUUACCCCUACACAAGACUGGUUAUCAAGUGGGUGUUAUGCCCUUCAAUCAACUUCAAUGGCAUUUCCGACACCAUAUCAACCUGCUUCUCCAUUUCCUUCCACGCAACAGAUUAUUAAGUGGAUCUUCUGCUCUCUUCAACAUCAAUUUAACCCCACUUAAUAAUCUUCCCCCUACACAAGACUGGUUAUUAAGUGGGUGUUAUGCCCUUCAAUCAACCUCUAUGUCAUUUCCGACACCACAUUCACUAGAAAUUACUCACUCUGUCCUUCUCUUCCCUUUCCCAGCACUCUGUCACUCCCUGUCCAGUAACUAAUGUAAUCUAAUUUACUUUCCUACGCAUGUGUUCAAGGUUGUAUGGCCCAGUUUUACGUUUCAACAGUGUCAAUAUUAGCACCCAAACCAAGUAAUUUUCUCUGUAAUGGUCCGCUUUUCUACUUGACAUUCGUAACUACAGAGAUUUUUUGUGUGGUUUUGUCAAAUUUAUUAACGUUUAUAUAAAUGGCAAAGAAUCGAAACACUUUACAGGGAUGUUCGUAGUGUUUAUACUUUUUGAUAUGACAUCCGAUACGAAAAAGACUUCCUGUGUGGUGUCGGCAAAUUUCGUAGUGUCUAUACAAAUGCCAAAGAUCCAACUUGACAUUCGCAACUACAGUGAUUUUAUGUGUUUUUUUGUCAAAUUUCUUGACGUUUAUAUAAAUGUCAAAGAAUUCAAACACUAUACAGGGAAUUUUCAUCAGUGCUUCGUUUUCUAUGUGACGUCCAAUACGAAAAAGACUUCCUGUGAGGAGUUGUCAAAUUUCGUAACAUCUAUACAAAUACCAAAGAAUCCAAACACUUUACAGGGACUUUCAUAGUGUUUAUACUUCUUCUAUAUGAUCUACGAUACCAUAGAGACUUCCGGCGUGGUGUCGUCAAAUUUCGUAACAUCUAUACAAAUACCAAAGAAUCCGAACACUUUACAGGGACUUUCAUAGUGUUUAUACUUCUUCUAUAUGAUCUACGAUACCAAAGAGACUUCCGGCGUGGUGUCGUCAAAUUUCGUAGCGUCUAUACAAAUGCCAAACAGGAGGAAGCCACAUCUGAGCACCAUGUCGGACGCUAAUCACUUCGUUUAUGAAUUUUACUGAGCUGAUUAUCGCGUCUAUGAAUUUUGCCGAGCCAAGGCCUGCGUUUAUGAAUUUUACUGAGCCAAUUCCUGCGUUUAUGAAUUUUGCCUAGCCAAUUAUUGCGUUUAUGAAUUUUACGAGCAUGUCAAUUACCGCGUUUAUGAAUUUUACCAAGCCAAUUAUUGCAUUUAUGAAUUUUACGAGCAAGUCAAUUACUGCGUUUAUGAAUUUUACCAAGCCAAUUAUUGCAUCUAUAAAUCUUCCAAGCAAGCCAAUUACAGCGUUUAUGAAUUUUACGAGCAUGUCAAUUACUGCGUUUAUGAAUUCUACCGAGCCAAUUAUCACAUUUAUGGAUCUUCCGAGCAUGCCGGUCCGGUGUUCCCCCUUGUCAUAUAUAUACCAUUUAACUUAUCCCCAGGCCCAUAGACGACACGAUAUCUGCAAGCACUGUGACCUUGGUAUCCCUUCCUCUGUACUAUACUGUCAUUAAUUACGAAUCCGUACCCUAAACAAGGAAUUUUCAGGAAUUUUCAUAGUGUUCAGAACUGGUCCUGGUUAUAUACAAGGCGUGGAUUGGCGGAAAGGCUUAUAUACCAAUACAUUACGAUAUACCGAGCCGUUCCGUCACUCCACUUCCCAUGUUUAACCUUUCUUCCACGCCUUCCUUCCAUCCCUCAGGCCUCCACAUUCACCCCUUUCCACUCUUCGCUCGAUAUGAUGGUAAUGACUUGAAUAGCAACACUGCUAAACAAAACAUGAUCACGGCAGUUUAGAAUAGAGUGAGUGUGUGUGGAAUCAAAACAGUAACAAUGAGGCCGCCCCGGGAGUGUGUGGCACAGCGAGAGUUGAAUUUAUUUUACAGUGAAGACUUGUGUUGGAGUGUGUGUGUGUUUGUGUGUGUGUUGUAGUGUGGGUCUGUAAUGUGAAGGGAAGGGAAGGGAAUGGAAAAGGAAGAGAAGGGAAGAGAAGGAAGAGAAGGGAAGGGAAGGAAGAGGAAGUGAAGGGAAGGGAAGAGAAGGGAAAGGAAGGGAUAGGAAAGGAAGAGAAGGGAAGGGAAGGGAAGGAAAGUUAAGGAAAGGGAAGGAAAACGAGGGGAAAGGAAAUGAAUGAGAUGAGGAAAGAUGUGUGUGUGUGUGUGUGUGUGUGUGUGUGUGUGUGUGUGUGUGUGUGUGUGUGUA